UCGCUAUGAUGUUGCGAUAACAUAGAUUCGUACAUCGAAUAUUUCAAGUACAACGAUUCCCUGUUACCCAAAUUUCUCGUACAAUUCCUACUGUAUUUCUUGUCUCAUCUUUUCGAGACAUUAGUAAGAUCCAGGUGCGGACAUGGCGCGUGUAUUUCAUGGCGUUUUUACACCUUAACAAUCAAAAGUACCCUUUUACAGAUCUGCAUCUCCAUCAAUCAACUUUAAUUCUAAGAUAAUUGGCUAUGAAACUAUGUAAUUUGACAAUUAUAAAGUGGACCGCGAGAUCAUAUCAAGAAUCACCAUUUUAAACUUUUAGAUGGCAUUGGCGAGAGAAUCAUGCUAUCUCUUCAAUGAAGACCCGCUUGCCCUCCACUUGAUCUCUUCAGAGUAUUAACCUACAUCUUCAUCUAUUAACUUUAAUUCUAAGAUAAUCGACUACGAAACUAUCGUAGUUUGACAAUUAUGAAGUGAACAUUGAAACUGCGUCUACAAUCACCAUUUUAAGCUUCUAGAUGGAUUGGCGAGAAGCUCGGGCAAUCUCUUCGAUCGAAACCUACUUGCCCUCACUUGAUAUCUUCGAAAUAUCGACCUGCAUCUCCAUCCAUCAGCUUUAAUUCUAAGAUAAUCGACUACAAAACUGUCGUAGUUUGACAAUUAUGAAAUGGACGUCGAAACCGCGUCUAGAAUCGCCAUUUUAAGCUUGUAGAUGGAUUGGCGAGAAGCUCGCGCAAGCUCUUCAAACGAAACUCGCUUGCCUUCAGCGCGUGAAAGCCGCGAAACGGGAGAGAGAAGCGAACAAAGACAGCGAGAGAGAGAGAGAGAGAGCACUGUAUCGUAAGUCAUCUCUCGAUCCCACAAGCGGCAGCGCUCGACGCGAAGAGAGCGACCGGAACAUGCAUGGAGAGAUCUCGUAUUUUCUCUUCAGGAUCCCUCCUGGAGAGACGGCUCCCCGCCAAGCGGAAAUCCGGAGCAUGUGACCGGCCGGCCCUCGUCGGCCCUCAAUAAUUGUGGGGGCCGGGAAAGAGAAAGAGAGUCGAUGGAAAUCGAUGGAUCCUAUCAUUUCCUGGACGAGGUAGAAGACAAGAGAGCGCACAUCAGAGCACACAUGUCUCGAGCUGUAAAGCCAUGGCUUUUACUGCCCCCACAUCGCUG
This 1155-nucleotide long non-coding RNA is filed under the name Eucalyptus grandis. Its description in RNAcentral is "long non-coding RNA (EGRA_LNC001777)". Lineage: Eukaryota; Viridiplantae; Streptophyta; Magnoliopsida; Myrtales; Myrtaceae. The record is from RNAcentral.